GGAGAACGGGAGAAGGGGAUUAUGGAGCUAGUAUGAAUGGUUAGAUUUAAAACACACAGAAAAAAAGAGAAAUAUGAAUGACACCACUUUACAUAUUCACACAUAUUUAGCUUCUCUUAGCUGUCCAUCAUAUGUGAUGAUGACGUUUGCUCCACGAAGGGGAAUAAUGUGGUUGUGGAGACCGAUGCGUGAGCCACACAGCUGUCCGCAGGUGGGAAUUGGAGACCAGACUACCUUUGUUGUAGUCCAAUGGUUCUAGGUGGUUAGGGUUGAUGUCACAGUGUCUCUGGGGGUCUUUGUUGUAGUCCAAUGGUUCUAGGUGGUUAGGGUUGAUGUCACAGUGUCUCUGGGGGUCUUUGUUGUAGUCCAAUUGGUUCUAGGUGGUUAGGGUUGAUGUCACAGUGUCUCUGGAGGUCUUUGUUGUAGUCCAAGGGUUCUAGGUGGUUAGGGUUGAUGUCACAGUGUUUCAGGGGAUCUUUUUUAUAGUCCAAGCGUUCCAGGCGGUUAGGGUAGAUGUAGCAGUGUCUCACAAGGUCUUUGCUGUAGUCCAAGGGUUCUUUGGAUUUAUGGUUGACGUCACAGUGUCUCUGGAGGUCUAUGUUGUAGUCCAAGGGUUCUAGGUGGUUAGGCUAGAUCUAGCAGUGUCACAGAAGGUCUUUGUGGUAGUCCUUGAGAUGUUUCUUC
Esox lucius (northern pike) is the source of this 684-nucleotide long non-coding RNA. NCBI's taxonomy places the organism in Eukaryota, Metazoa, Chordata, Actinopteri, Esociformes, Esocidae. The record is from Ensembl.